GCAAGUAUCCGAGGCCAAGGGCAUUGUGGUCAGUGAGGAGGUGGCCCCCGCAGUAGAAUCCAUCGUGUCGGAGUGUCCUAACCUGAAGACCAAACUCCUGGUGUCUCCACACAGCCGGGAAGGGUGGCUCAGCUUCCACCAGUUAUUCCAAUCUGCCUCUGAAGAGCACCGCUGUGUGGAGACAGGAAGUCAAGAACCAAUGGCCAUUU
RNAcentral lists this long non-coding RNA (209 nucleotides) under Ictidomys tridecemlineatus (thirteen-lined ground squirrel). Its description in RNAcentral is "lncRNA (ENSSTOG00000029838.1)". The record is from RNAcentral. Lineage: Eukaryota; Metazoa; Chordata; Mammalia; Rodentia; Sciuridae.